RNAcentral lists this unclassified non-coding RNA (235 nucleotides) under plant metagenome. Its description in RNAcentral is "partial contains small subunit ribosomal RNA, internal transcribed spacer 1, and 5.8S ribosomal RNA". The record is from RNAcentral.
GUCAUUCCCAGUCUUAACAAUUUUUCCGUAGGUGAACCUGCGGAAGGAUCAUUCAUAAUAAGUGUUUUAUGGCACUUUUUUAAAUCCAUAUCCACCUUGUGUGCAAUGUCAGGGUUGAUUUUUCUCUCGAGAGGAUCAACCCCAAACAUCAACUAUAUCUCAACUCUUUGUCUGAAAAAUAUUAUGAAUAAAACAAUUCAAAAUACAACUUUCAACAACGGAUCUCUUGGCUCUC